UCCGUAGGCGGGAAUCUAAGUCAGUGGUGAAAUCUUACAGCUCAACUGUAAAAUUGCCAUUGAUACUGGAUUUCUUGAAUUAGUGUGAAGUGGUUAGAAUGUGUAGUGUAGCGGUGAAAUGCAUAGAUAUUACACAGAAUACCAAUUGCGAAGGCAGAUCACUAACACUAUAUUGACGCUGAGGGACGAAAGCGUGGGGAGCGAACAGGAUUAGAUACCCUGGUAGUCC
RNAcentral lists this ribosomal RNA (229 nucleotides) under uncultured bacterium. RNAcentral describes it as "partial 16S ribosomal RNA". It matches the Rfam family "Bacterial small subunit ribosomal RNA", at positions 568 to 796 of the family's 1533-position model. The record is from RNAcentral.